Molecule: ribosomal RNA, 1490 nt
Filed under: Scherffelia dubia
Lineage: Eukaryota; Viridiplantae; Chlorophyta; Chlorodendrophyceae; Chlorodendrales; Chlorodendraceae
Description: SSU rRNA
Rfam family: Bacterial small subunit ribosomal RNA
Source: RNAcentral
AAAUUCAAGAGUUUGAUCCUGGCUCAGAAUGAAUGCUAGUAAUAGGCCUAACACAUGCAAGUUGAGCGAUAUAAGCAGCGAACGGGUGCGUAAAGCGUAAGUAUUUACCUAAUAAUUCUGUGUCAUCUUUUUGUCGGAAUGACCUCCGAAGAAAUCAAUCCAGAAAAGAAGAAUCGUUAUUGGAGAAGCUUGCGUAGGAUUAAGUCGUUGGUGAGAUAACAGCUUCACCAAGCUAAAGAUCCUUAGUUGGUCUGAGAGGACGAUCAGCCACACUGGGACUGAGACACGGCCCAGAUUCUUUCGAGAAGCAGCAGUGAGGAAUAUUGGACAAUAGGCGAAAGCUUGAUCCAGCCAUAUUACGUGAGGGAGGAAGGCCUUUUUAGGUUGUAAACUUCUUUAAAAAAUUAUCGUUAUACGAGUUUUUUUACAAAAAGUCCCGGCUAAAUCUGUGCCAGCAGCCGCGGUAAUACAGAUGGGACAAGUGUUAUUCGGAAUGACUGGGCGUCAAGGGUACGUCGGCGGUUUUUUAGGAUAGUUGUCCCAAGCUUUUGAAAAAGCAAAGCAACUAAAACAAAAAAACUCGAGUAUGGAAGAGGAGAGCGGAAUUUUGAGUGAAGAGCUAAAAUUCGCAGAUAUUCAAAGGAACACCGAAAACGAAGGUAGCUCUCUGGUUCUAACAUACUGACGCUCAUGUACGAAAGCAUGGGGAGUGAAUGGGAUUAGAUACCCCAGUAAUCCAUGCUGUCAACGAUGAGUGUUCACUCCAUUUUAUUGUGGGGUUUAGCUAACGCGUUAAACACUCCGCCUGGGGAGUACGGCCGCAAGGUUGAAACUCAAAGGAAUUGCCGGGGAUUCGUACAAGCGGUGGAUUAUGUGGUUUAAUUCGAAACAACGCGCAAAACCUUACCAUCCCUUGCAUACACGAAGUGUACCUUUCUUAAAAAGAGGUUUGAAUCGUGAACAGGUGCUGCAUGGCUGUCGACAGUUCGUGUGGUGACACGUCGGGUUAAUUCCUAUAACGAGCGAAACCCCUUUUUUUGGCAACAAAAACACUGCCGAUGAUAGAUCGGAGGAAGGUAGGGAUGACGUCAAGUCCUCAUGGCCCUUAUGGGAUGGGCUAUCACACGUAAUACAAUGGCGAGGUUAAUUAGAUGCAAUGGUGCGAGCCAGAGCGAAGCUAAAACUUUUUCCAUGUUCGGAUUUGUCUCUGAAACUCGAGACAAUGAAGCUGGAAUCGCGAGUAAUCUUGGAUGAGUAUGCCAAGGUGAAACUGUACUCGAGUCUUGGACACCUUGCCUGUCAAGUCCUGGAAGUAAUUUUCGGUCUAAAAAUUUAGAAGCUUUCAAAUCGAAACUCUUUGAGAAUAGUAACAAAAGAUGCUAAAUCAAUCUCGUUUCUUGAAAGUAAACGGUUUCAAAUCGAAUUUCAUAACUGGGACUAAGUCAUAACAUGGUCGUGGUUGGGGAACCAGUCGCGGGAUCGACUAUCAU